RNAcentral lists this transfer RNA (67 nucleotides) under Ophiomastix mixta. Its description in RNAcentral is "tRNA-Met". Lineage: Eukaryota; Metazoa; Echinodermata; Ophiuroidea; Amphilepidida; Ophiocomidae. The record is from RNAcentral.
CACGGUAAGUUAUUUAAACUAUUGGGCUCAUGACUCAAAAAACAAGGUGAAACCCCUUUUCGUGCCU